CCAACGGCCCUUAUCAGGGCCACAAAUUACUCAUACGUCCGACAU
Non-coding RNA from Harpegnathos saltator (Jerdon's jumping ant), 45 nucleotides. The record is from Rfam. Lineage: Eukaryota; Metazoa; Arthropoda; Insecta; Hymenoptera; Formicidae.